Molecule: non-coding RNA, 2294 nt
Organism: Heterocephalus glaber (naked mole-rat)
Lineage: Eukaryota; Metazoa; Chordata; Mammalia; Rodentia; Bathyergidae
Source: RefSeq, a predicted model, not a curated record
CAAUGUGGUUGCAGACAAGAACACUGCAAAGCAAAGCUGUUACGAUCGUUGGAAUGAAAAUCCUGCCACCAAUGAAAUUCACCAGACCCAAAACAGGAUGAUGCAUAGAGGAUGGGAAAACCAACUAAAUUCUGCAGAGGAUAUCCGGGGAUUUUCAAAUAACUAUGUUUUGACUGAAGCCCAUUGUUGAUCAUUUUACCCAGAAGAGUUGGGAAGACCGUGAAGGUGUUCAGGUUUAGGCUACUAGUAGUUUACUGGAGACGUACUAACCAGGGAUUGAAACCAGGGCCUUCCCACUGUGCUACAUCCCCUGCCUUUUUUAUUUGCAGGGUCUCGGCGAGUUACCCAGGCUGGGCUCAAAUUUGUGAUCUUCCUCAGCCUCAAGUAUUGGGAUAACAGGCAUGCAUAGACACCUAUUUUUAAAGAUAUUGGUGGGUUUUUUCUAGAACAUUCAUAGAGUUUGCAUAGGACAUCUUUUUAAAUGUAUUUUGAUAACCUAAAUCAACAUCCAAGGGUUUCACCUUCCCCGAGACACUGUUUCUAGAGAGGACGCGAUCUCUUGAACCCGGAAGCUGCGGGUGAACCCCGCCUUGUCCCGGCCAGUGGGCGGAGACCUGCGACUCCGGCGGGCUGUGGGAACUACAAUUCCCAGCGGCCCUGGCAGACACUGGCCGCGGCCUCAACGCGCCUGCGUACUGGCGGAACCUCCGGCUGCGUAGUUCCCGCCAAUUCUUCCAGUGAUCCUGACUAGGAGUUCCGCUGUAAUGGAGUCGUUUGAUCCCGCCGAGCUGCCAGAGCUGCUCAAACUGUAUUACCGGAGGCUCUUUCCCUACGCCCAGUACUAUCGCUGGCUCAACUACGGCGGAGUGGUAAAGAAUUACUUUCAAAACCGUGAAUUUUCAUUCACAUUGAAAGAUGAUAUUUACAUUCGCUACCAAUCCUUCAACAGUCAGAGUGAUCUGGAAAAGGAAAUGCAGAAAAUGAAUCCAUACAAGAUUGAUAUAGGUGCAGUAUAUUCCCACAGACCCAGUCAACACAAUGCAGUGAAGCUGGGAGCCUUCCAGGCUCAGGAAAAAGAACUGGUAUUUGACAUUGACAUGACAGACUAUGAUGAUGUGAGGAGAUGCUGUAGCUCCGCAGACAUAUGCUCCAAGUGCUGGACCCUCAUGACAAUGGCCAUACACAUCAUUGACCGAGCACUGAAGGAGGACUUUGGGUUUAAGCAUCGUCUCUGGGUUUAUUCUGGAAGGAGAGGCGUUCAUUGUUGGGUCUGUGAUGAAUCAGUUAGAAAAUUGUCCUCUGGAGUACGUUCUGGGAUAGUUGAAUAUUUGAGCCUUGUAAAGGGUGGCCAGGACGUUAAAAAGAAAGUUCACCUAAGUGAAAAAAUUCACCCUUUUGUCAGAAGAUCUAUAAACAUAAUUAAAAAAUACUUUGAAGAAUAUGCCUUGGUUGAUCAAGAUAUUCUUGAAAAUAAAGAAAGCUGGGAUAAGAUUUUAGCCCUUCUUCCUGGGACAAUUCAUGAAGAACUUCAACCAUACUUCCAGAAGUCUCAUAAUUCACUUCAGCGUUGGGAGCAUCUGAAAAGAAUAACCAGCACGAGUCAGAAUAUCAAAAACGAUAAAUGUGGACCCUGGCUGGAGUGGGAGAUUAUGCUGCAAUACUGUUUUCCACGGCUGGAUAUUAAUGUUAGCAAAGGAAUCAAUCAUUUACUGAAGAGCCCUUUUAGUGUUCAUCCUAAAACAGGUCGCAUUUCUGUGCCUAUUGAUUUACAGAAAGUGGAUCAAUUUGAUCCCUUUACUGUUCCAACAAUAAGCUCCAUUUGCUGUGAAUUGGAUGUCAUUUCCACUAAUGAGAACAAAAAAGAGGAGAAUGAAGCUGAAGCUGAUAUCAAACACAGAACCAGAGGCAAAUAUUUGUUUCCAUAUUUGUCUUCCCCUACUAGUGUACCAAACCUCAGAUCAUUUGCCCUGAAGAAAACUUAUAGAUACCUGUGGAGGCUGCUGUGACUGCUGACCUGCACCUCAAGACCAACAGCAACUCCAUCUUAUCCUGAAGAUUAUAAGAAGACCAGUCUAGCACCUUAUGUGAAAGUAUUCGAACAGUUUCUUGAAAACUUGGAUAAAUCCCGAAAAGGAGAACUUCUCAAGAACAGCGAUUUACAAAAAGAUUUCUAAAGAUAACAACUCCUCUCAAACCAGUGUGGAUAUCAUCUACAUUCAACCAAGGAUCAAAUAUGUCAAGACAUAUAAUAAACAUGGCAGAAGGAUGUAUGCAUCUUAAUGCUUAAAGCAGAA